This 70-nucleotide transfer RNA is filed under the name Bivetiella cancellata. RNAcentral describes it as "tRNA-Asn". Lineage: Eukaryota; Metazoa; Mollusca; Gastropoda; Neogastropoda; Cancellariidae. The record is from RNAcentral.
UAAGUGAAAGCCAAAUAUGAGAGGCAUUUAAUUGUUAAUUAAAGAAUUGUAGGUUAUACUACUCACUUAG